This 227-nucleotide ribosomal RNA is filed under the name uncultured bacterium. RNAcentral's name for it is "partial 16S ribosomal RNA". It matches the Rfam family "Bacterial small subunit ribosomal RNA", at positions 549 to 775 of the family's 1533-position model. The record is from RNAcentral.
AUUCACUGGGUUUAAAGGGUGCGUAGGUGGACAGAACAGUCAGUGGUGAAAUCCCAGGGCUCAACCCUGGAACUGCCUUUAAUACUGCCGGUCUAGAGUUCGAGAGAGGUGAGUGGAAUUACGAGUGUAGAGGUGAAAUUCGUAGAUAUUCGGAGGAACACCAGUGGCGAAGGCGGCUCACUGGCUCGACACUGACGCUGAGGUGCGAAAGCGUGGGGAGCAAACAG